RNAcentral lists this ribosomal RNA (253 nucleotides) under uncultured bacterium. RNAcentral's name for it is "partial 16S ribosomal RNA". It matches the Rfam family "Bacterial small subunit ribosomal RNA", at positions 524 to 776 of the family's 1533-position model. The record is from RNAcentral.
UACGUAGGGUGCGAGCGUUGUCCGGAAUUAUUGGGCGUAAAGAGCUUGUAGGCGGUUUGUCGCGUCUGCCGUGAAAAUCCGGGGCUCAACCCCGGACUUGCGGUGGGUACGGGCAGACUAGAGUGUGGUAGGGGAGACUGGAAUUCCUGGUGUAGCGGUGAAAUGCGCAGAUAUCAGGAGGAACACCGAUGGCGAAGGCAGUUCUCUGGGCCGUAACUGACGCUGAGGAGCGAAAGCGUGGGGAGCGAACAGG